GAUCUAACGAAGAAUCAAAAUGGUGAAGGUGAGGAAAAAGAAGAAGUGAAGCCAUUGGACCAAAAUCUUUGAUGCCCUUUGACCUAUAUCCUUAUUCUAAUAAGGGUUUGACCAAAAGAAAAAAUAAUUAAUUUACUUAAAAAAAUCGAAAAUGGGUGUAAAUACCUACCCACCCUUACUAAACCUAAAAAUUACAGAUCCAACCACAUAAAAUCCGAAAACCCAUUUC
RNAcentral lists this long non-coding RNA (229 nucleotides) under Capsella grandiflora. RNAcentral describes it as "long non-coding RNA (CGRA_LNC000928)". Lineage: Eukaryota; Viridiplantae; Streptophyta; Magnoliopsida; Brassicales; Brassicaceae. The record is from RNAcentral.